CAACACCUGAAAAACUUUCUGUUGAUGUGAAAUAUCCUCCAAAGCUUCCCUCUGUGUCAGUGAGUCCCUCUGCUGAGAUAGUGGAGGGCAGUUCAGUCACUCUGACCUGUAGCACUGAUGCUAACCCAGCAGCUAGUUACACCUGGUACAAGGAGGAUGAAGACUCACCUAAAACAUCAGGACACAACUUCACCAUCACUGACAUCACACCUGAACACAGUGGGAGUUAUUACUGUAAGGCCCAGAACAACAGAGGACAUCAUUACUCCACCUUACAGCUGACUGUAUCAAGAGCAUGGAAACCAACAGUUGUAUCAGGAGUCUCUGCUAUUCUCCUGGCUCUCCUACUCGUCUCUGUCAUCCUGUGGAUCAUAAAAAAGAGAUCCCCCAAGCAACAGCAGCCUGAGCCUGGAGAGAGACCGGACACUAGUGAACAGCUGCAAUCUGCAGAUGGUGAAGUCGUCUAUACUACAGUCUGCUUUGUCAAACACAAGGGUGAAGCGGUCUACGCCAACAUCAGACCAGCUCAGGCCAAAAAACACAAGGAAGAAGACGAGAGGGUCGUCUACUCUGCUGUCACUUUCAGGAGUGCCAGUACUGCCCCGAGAAUCCAGACCACAACUCCAGAAGAUGCAGAGGAUCCAGCUGCUCUGUACAGCAC
Long non-coding RNA from Oreochromis aureus, 661 nucleotides. NCBI's taxonomy places the organism in Eukaryota, Metazoa, Chordata, Actinopteri, Cichliformes, Cichlidae. The record is from Ensembl.